AAGUCGUAACAAGGUUUCCGUAGGUGAACCUGCGGAAGGAUCAUUAUUGAAUAAACCUGAUGUAGUUGUAGCUGGCUCUCUCGGGAGCAUGUGCUCGCUCAUCAUCUUUAUAUUUCCACCUGUGCACCUUUUGUAGACCCAGGCGGCUUGAGCAAUCAAGUCAUUUGGGCCUAUGUUUAUCAUAUACCCCAAGUAUGUAUUAGAAUGUAUCAAUGGGCUUCGUGCCUAUAAACACUAUACAACUUUCAGCAACGGAUCUCUUGGCUCUC
RNAcentral lists this unclassified non-coding RNA (269 nucleotides) under air metagenome. RNAcentral's name for it is "partial contains small subunit ribosomal RNA, internal transcribed spacer 1, and 5.8S ribosomal RNA". The stretch from base 1 to 46 matches the Rfam family "Eukaryotic small subunit ribosomal RNA", at positions 1786 to 1831 of the family's 1831-position model. The record is from RNAcentral.